GAUGAAGAACGCAGCGAAAUGCGAUACUUGGUGUGAAUUGCAGAAUCCCGUGAACCAUUGAGUCUUUGAACGCAAGUUGCGCCCGAAGCCAUUAGGCCGAGGGCACGCCUGCCUGGGUGUCACACACCGUUACCCUCGCGCCAACGUCCAUCGUUGGCCGCGGCGCGGGGCGUGCGCUGACCUCCCGCGAGCGGGGUCUCGUGGUUGGUUGAAAAUCGAGUUCGCGGUCGAGGGUGCCGUGAUGAAAUGGUGGAUGGGCGACGCCCGAGGCCAAUCACGCGCGACUCUGUCCGGCUCGNNNUCCUGGACCCCUUCGGCGUCUCCGGACGCUCUUUGGCGAGACCUCAGGUCAGGCGGGGCUACCCGCUGAGUUUAAGCAUAUCAAUAAGCGGAGGA
This 396-nucleotide unclassified non-coding RNA is filed under the name soil metagenome. Its description in RNAcentral is "partial contains 5.8S ribosomal RNA, internal transcribed spacer 2, and large subunit ribosomal RNA". The stretch from base 1 to 122 matches the Rfam family "5.8S ribosomal RNA", at positions 35 to 154 of the family's 154-position model. The record is from RNAcentral.